Molecule: long non-coding RNA, 545 nt
Filed under: Ananas comosus (pineapple)
Lineage: Eukaryota; Viridiplantae; Streptophyta; Magnoliopsida; Poales; Bromeliaceae
Description: long non-coding RNA (ACOM_LNC028184)
Source: RNAcentral
AUCCUGAAUAGAGCUUGAUUGGGCCAGAUGAACGCAUCAGGUUGUGACCACCCAAUUGUCCUCUCUAAAUUUGUAUUCAUUGUUGGAUUUUAUUGAAUUUUUGGUGAUUAAAACCUUGUUAAGCCUCUUGGGCAGCGUAAUACUUAAUGGGCCAUGCAUCAUAUGUGAGGUUUAGUCCCAUACUGGAAACUAAAAAGAUGUUGUUGUUGCUGGUAUUUAUAUAUUCCUUUAUUCUCAAGCUAGUUGCUUGGAAGAAAAUGAGAGUUAUGCUCUCGUCCAUACACCCAAUUAAUUUUAUUUUAUUUUUAUUUUUUUGGUUUUAUUUUUAUCUUAAUCUUAUUUUAUUUUAUUUUUAUUUUUUCGGUUUUAUCUUUAUCCUAUUUUAUUUUAUUUUUAUUUUUUCAGUUUUAUCUUUAUUCUAAUUCUAAUUCUAAUUCGUAUCCCGUAUAAUUUUAGGCUUAUCUUGUUUUACACGGAAUUAACACGUUGAAACAAAAUUCUUGCCUUAGUUAUAUAUAUUGGAGAAAGUUGCGUGAGUUCAACCG